GACGAACGCUGGCGGCGUGCUUAACACAUGCAAGUCGAACGGAAAGGCCCUGCUUGCAGGGUACACGAGUGGCGAACGGGUGAGUAACACGUGGGUGAUCUGCCCUGCACUUCGGGAUAAGCCUGGGAAACUGGGUCUAAUACCGGAUAGGAGCCAUUUUUAGUGUGAUGGUUGGAAAGUUUUUUUCGGUGUAGGAUGAGCUCGCGGCCUAUCAGCUUGUUGGUGGGGUAAUGGCCUACCAAGGCGGCGACGGGUAGCCGGCCUGAGAGGGUGGACGGCCACAUUGGGACUGAGAUACGGCCCAGACUCCUACGGGAGGCAGCAGUGGGGAAUAUUGCACAAUGGGCGCAAGCCUGAUGCAGCGACGCCGCGUGGGGGAUGACGGCCUUCGGGUUGUAAACUCCUUUCGCUAGGGACGAAGCUUUUUGUGACGGUACCUAGAUAAGAAGCACCGGCUAACUACGUG
This 466-nucleotide ribosomal RNA is filed under the name uncultured bacterium. Its description in RNAcentral is "partial 16S ribosomal RNA". It matches the Rfam family "Bacterial small subunit ribosomal RNA", at positions 28 to 507 of the family's 1533-position model. The record is from RNAcentral.